AGUAAUGCCUGGGAAUAUGCCCUGAUGUGGCGGAUAACUAUUGGAAUCGAUAGCUAAUACCGCAUAAUCUCUUCGGAGCAAAGAGGGGGACCUUCGGGCCUCUCGCGACUGGAUUAGCCCAGGUGGGAUUAGCUUGUUGGUGAGGUAAUGGCUCACCAAGGCAACGAUCCCUAGCUGGUCUGAGAGGAAGAUCAGCCACACUGGAACUGAGACACGGUCCAGACUCCUACGGGUGGCAGCAGUGGGGAAUAUUGCACAAUGGGGGAAACCCUGAUGCAGCCAUGCCGCGUGUAUGAAGAAGGCCUUCGGGUUGUAAAGUACUUUCAGUAGGGAGGAAGGCAGUGUCGUUAAUAGCGGCAUUUUUUGACGUUACCUACAGAAGAAGCACCGGCUAACUCCGUGCCAGCAGCCGCGGUAAUACGGAGGGUGCGAGCGUUAAUCGGAAUUACUGGGCGUAAAGCGCAUGCAGGCGGUCUGUUAAGCAAGAUGUGAAAGCCCGGGCCUCAACCUCGGAACAGCAUUUUGAACUGGCAGACUAGAGUCUUGUAGAGGGGGGUAGAAUUUCAGGUGUAGCGGUGAAAUGCGAAGAGAUCUGAAGGAAUACCGGUGGCGAAGGCGGCCCCCUGGACAAAGACUGACGCUCAGAUGCGAAAGCGUGGGGAGCAAACAGGAUUAGAUACCCUGGUAGUCCACGCCGUUAACGAUGUCUACUUCGAGGUUGUGGCCUUGAUCCGU
Molecule: ribosomal RNA, 735 nt
Filed under: Photobacterium leiognathi
Lineage: Bacteria; Pseudomonadati; Pseudomonadota; Gammaproteobacteria; Vibrionales; Vibrionaceae
Description: bacterial SSU rRNA
Rfam family: Bacterial small subunit ribosomal RNA
Source: RNAcentral